Callithrix jacchus (white-tufted-ear marmoset) is the source of this 100-nucleotide small nuclear RNA. The record is from Ensembl. Lineage: Eukaryota; Metazoa; Chordata; Mammalia; Primates; Cebidae.
AAAAAAAUAGUGCUUGCCUAAAAUUGGAAUGAUACAAAAAAGAUUAGCAUGGCCUCUACACAAGCAUGACACACAAAUUAGUGAAGCGUUCCAUCGGUUU